CUUCGACUAUUGUUUUUGUACUCGAGUUGCAUAUCUAAUUCAAACUGUGUUUUGUAAUUUUUGGUGAUAAACUUCUUCCAGACUCCUUCCCUUACAAGGAACUCUUGAAUGGGAUCCUAUGAGAAGUUGAAGGAAAGAUCUUAUUCCAGUGAUUAAUAUCCGCUUGAGUAACCCAAUCUGAGUCUGAUUUUUUUCGUUAACAAUUCAGGUGUUUAUUUUGGAUGGUCCGGAGUUUUUGGCUGCAACUAUGUUGGACAGAGAUAUGCUUGCUAUGGCUGGAAAUUGGUACCAUGUCGGUUGGUUUUGCUUGGCAAGAUUUGUGACGAUGCGUCGGACAAACAACAUUGGAAUAAGAUACAGCCUUGAGCCUUGGCAAGUUAACACAUUAGUUAGGGUUAUGAAGUUUUUCAUGGCACCGACACAUUAUUGAGCAGUAGCGCAUCAGAUGACCAGUGUAUAUCUCUACUUGAGGAAUUCUCUAAAGUUCCAGAGCCGAUUGUUUCAUAGAGCUGUGAAGUUGCUCUAAACAUACUGGAUUUUGAACGAUCCGGCAAACCAUUCGAGUACAUCUUUAUGUAGGCACCUCAAUUGCAGGAGGCAGCAUGAUGGUUUCACUUUGUUGUGUGUUUUGUUACCAUUGAGUACUAAAUGGCAUACAUUUGGAUAGAGUUUUGAAUGAUUUACUCAACAGUAUUAUUUGAAUGUUU
Molecule: long non-coding RNA, 707 nt
Organism: Helianthus annuus (common sunflower)
Lineage: Eukaryota; Viridiplantae; Streptophyta; Magnoliopsida; Asterales; Asteraceae
Exons: 6
Source: RefSeq, a predicted model, not a curated record